AAUCCCGGAUGAGCCGUAAGGUAAAAGAUUUAUUGCCUAGAGAAGAGCUCGCGUCCGAUUAGUUAGUUGGUGGGGUAAGAGCCUACCAAGACAGCGAUCGGUAACUGGUCUGAGAGGAUGACCAGUCACACUGGGACUGAGACACGGCCCAGACUCCUACGGGAGGCAGCAGUGGGGAAUUUUCCGCAAUGGGCGAAAGCCUGACGGAGCAAUACCGCGUGCGGGAGGAAGGCCCUUGGGUCGUAAACCGCUUUUAUCAGGGAAGAAGCUCUGACGGUACCUGAUGAAAAAGCCUCGGCUAACUCCGUGCCAGCAGCCGCGGUAAUACGGAGGAGGCAAGCGUUAUCCGGAAUUAUUGGGCGUAAAGCGUCCGCAGGUGGAAUUGUAAGUCUGCUGUCAAAGACGGAAGCUCAACUUCCGAUAGGCAGUGGAAACUGCAAAACUAGAGUACAGUAGGGGUAGAGGGAAUUCCCAGUGUAGCGGUGAAAUGCGUAGAGAUUGGGAAGAACACCGGUGGCGAAAGCGCUCUACUGGGCUG
This 538-nucleotide ribosomal RNA is filed under the name Spirulina sp. Its description in RNAcentral is "bacterial SSU rRNA". It matches the Rfam family "Bacterial small subunit ribosomal RNA", at positions 165 to 736 of the family's 1533-position model. Lineage: Bacteria; Bacillati; Cyanobacteriota; Cyanophyceae; Spirulinales; Spirulinaceae. The record is from RNAcentral.